Molecule: long non-coding RNA, 1623 nt
Organism: Salmo trutta (river trout)
Lineage: Eukaryota; Metazoa; Chordata; Actinopteri; Salmoniformes; Salmonidae
Source: Ensembl
GUCAAACAAUGUUUGACUUCAUAAUCAGUUCUCUGAGACUUGAUUAUGACGUCGGGCAUUAGUCGAUGUGAGAUGUGUCGGUAAAAACAACCCGAGUCAGGGAUCUUUUUCACUGACUGUACACUGAGAAGAUUACACAAGAUUUAGGUAAUAUUUUCUAAAUGUGAUGUCCUUGGUUUUAUCAUAUGUGCAUGUUUAGCCUAUUUUCCCAUACGUUUAUUAAUUGAUUUCACCUCGCAAGAUGCAAAGGAAAGUUACAUUUACAUUUACAUUUAAGUCAUUUAGCAGACGCUCUUAUCCAGAGCGACUUACAAAUUGGUGCAUUCACCUUAUGAUAUCCAGUGGAACAACCACUUUACAAUAGUGCAUCUAAAUCAAGUUGCCACGAUUAUUAUUUAAUCAUUGAAUAGAAAGGGGGAAAACUGUUGCUGACCAGAUAUUGCCACAGGGUGACGCGAAAAAAAGAGAGAUCCUAAGAGACAGCCUUAACUCAAAAUAAGAGGGUGUUUUGCAACUGUCUGUCUGGCCCGCGGACUCCUCCUCCUCCUAACUGUCAGUAGCAACGUCCUGGUUGAGUCCCGUUUGCCUUGUGCUAGCAAAUACUGUAUCAUUUUUUGGGGGGUGAAAGUGUUACGAAGAGCCAACAAAGGGGUUGGCUCUUUAUACCCCGUCCUGUCUGCCACUAAGUUGUUGUUCGGAAAUGUGUAGGGCUGCUGGUUGCAAUUAGCCAAGUUAUCGUUCCAUUAGAGAGGGGUUCCGUUUGACAGCUCGCCGCCUGGGACAGGGAGCUCGCGCUCUGCCUCUGCCUUACCCAUGAUGGCGACCCAAGAAGCGGACAUGUCGCGGCGCAGUAUGAGGCUGGUUUUAGGGGGAUACUACCACCAGUCAUCAGACGAUGAUGAGUCCUCCUCAGUUUCCUACAGGGAGAGCCCCGUGAGGGUUUUUACUAAGAGGAAGACAGGUGGUCGUAAAGUGGCGGCCUCUCGUACCUCCAGCCGGGCCAACAGCGUGGCUAGCACCGCUAGCAGCAAGGGUAGUACAGUGGAGCCACCCAUCAAUGCUGAGGACUACAUUGGGGUCUCAAGCUUGGUUCAGAGGAGGAAGACCUUCCAGGAACCUCCGGCCCCAGCCCCCAGCCUGAACCUGGCUCCCAGCCCCAGGGGCUUCUCGUCCUGCCAGACCGGCCUGAACCAGGCCCAGAGCCAUAGCAGCGCCAUAGACAGCUCUGGUUACUCCUCUUCAGAGGCAAGACGUUUCAGAGGAUACUCUGGAGACUCCUCCUUAGGCGAACAAAGGGUUAGCGCCAGCCAGAGAUCUGGCACUAACAGGACAAGUGCUAGUGCCAGCUGGAGUGAGUACUGUGUGUGUGCUAGUGUAGCAUUAGCUGGUCUCUAUGCUUGUAGCUUGUUUGUUAGCAUUAGUUUUAUCUCUGUCUCCUCCUGUAGCCCCUCCGUUUAUCCCGGCCGAUGUGGGGAAGGCCAUUCUAAUUGCCAUCCUCCUCAUACUCUUGACCUUCGGCUGCUGGCACCUUGCCCCUUUGGUAUGGGCCACCCUGACUUCAGCCCUGAAUGCUAUCACUAUGACCCUGAACCGACCUGUCAUCACCCCGACUCCGCCACCUGA